AAAAUGACUCUCGGCAACGGAUAUCUCGGCUCUUGCAUCGAUGAAGAACGUAGCGAAAUGCGAUACUUGGUGUGAAUUGCAGAAUCCCGUGAACCAUCGAGUCUUUGAACGCAAGUUGCGCCCGAAGCCACUAGGCCGAGGGCACGGCUGCCUGGGUGUCACGC
RNAcentral lists this ribosomal RNA (164 nucleotides) under Flemingia macrophylla. RNAcentral describes it as "5.8S ribosomal RNA". It matches the Rfam family "5.8S ribosomal RNA". Rfam says of the family: 5.8S ribosomal RNA (5.8S rRNA) is a component of the large subunit of the eukaryotic ribosome. The record is from RNAcentral. Lineage: Eukaryota; Viridiplantae; Streptophyta; Magnoliopsida; Fabales; Fabaceae.